RNAcentral lists this long non-coding RNA (663 nucleotides) under Callithrix jacchus (white-tufted-ear marmoset). Its description in RNAcentral is "lncRNA (ENSCJAG00000066210.2)". The record is from RNAcentral. Lineage: Eukaryota; Metazoa; Chordata; Mammalia; Primates; Cebidae.
UGAACAAGGAAAAACACAAAACAAUGAACAAGGGAAAAACGAAGAGUGAGACAGAUUGCAAGAUGCUGUGCUGCCGGCUCUGAAGAUGGAAGAAGAGGCCCAUAACCAAGGAAUUCAGAAGGCCUCUAGAAGCAGAGAAUUAUUUUUAGGAUAUGAAACUUUAAAAAAUCAUUUCAGAAGAAAGAGCAUUUGACCCUUUCCUGCUAGCUGUUCAGACCAGCCCAUUUCAACAAGUGAUACAGAUUUGGGAUUUCCUGGUAGCAGGAGCUGGGCUGGUCACCUCCGGAUCUCCCAGGCCUAGCAUGGAUACUGAAUGGAAUGCUUUAGAAGAUGUGAGUGGUACCUGGCAACAUCAUGAAGUUGAUGAAACUUUUCUGCCACGCUGUCAUAUCCUGGCAUGAUGGUCUGGGUUCCUGGAAAGGAACAAUAGAUAAUGUGGAUACAGCGUGAGCUGGGCAUCUGGUGCUUUUCCUGGGGCAUUAGACACUUUAAUCCUCAUAAAGACCUUACAAGGUAGGAGUUGAUAUUAUCACAGCCCCACUUCCCAGAAGAGGAACAAGAGGGUGGGAAGUUAAGUAACUUGCUCAAGGUCAUACCAUUAAUUCAUAGUGGAGCCCAGGUUCAAACCUAGACAGCUGGGUUCAAUCUGUGUUCCUAACCAUC